RNAcentral lists this ribosomal RNA (406 nucleotides) under uncultured bacterium. RNAcentral describes it as "partial 16S ribosomal RNA". It matches the Rfam family "Bacterial small subunit ribosomal RNA", at positions 30 to 526 of the family's 1533-position model. The record is from RNAcentral.
AUUGAACGCUGGCGGCAGGCCUAACACAUGCAAGUCGAGCGAGCGGCGGACGGGUGAGUAAUGUAUGGGGAACUGCCUGAUAGAGGGGGAUAACUACUGGAAACGGUAGCUAAUACCGCAUACUAUCAGAUGUGCCCAGAUGGGAUUAGCUAGUAGGUGGGGUAAAGGCUCACCUAGGCGACGAUCCCUAGCUGGUCUGAGAGGAUGAACAGCCACAAUGGAACUGAGACACGGUCCAGACUCCUACGGGAGGCAGCAGUGGGGAAUAUUGCACAAUGGGCGCAAGCCUGAUGCAGCCAUGCCGCGUGUAUGAAGAAGGCCUUCGGGUUGUAAAGUACUUUCAGCGGGGAGGCGUUACCCGCAGAAGAAGCACCGGCUAACUCCGUGCCAGCCGCCGCGGUAAUUC